This 253-nucleotide ribosomal RNA is filed under the name uncultured bacterium. RNAcentral's name for it is "partial 16S ribosomal RNA". It matches the Rfam family "Bacterial small subunit ribosomal RNA", at positions 524 to 776 of the family's 1533-position model. The record is from RNAcentral.
UACGUAGGGUGCAAGCGUUGUCCGGAGUUAUUGGGCGUAAAGAGCUCGUAGGCGGUUUGUCGCGUCGAAUGUGAAAACCCGGGGCUCAACCCCGGGCCUGCAUUCGAUACGGGCAGACUAGAGUUCGGUAGGGGAGUCUGGAAUUCCUGGUGUAGCGGUGAAAUGCGCAGAUAUCAGGAGGAACACCGGUGGCGAAGGCGGGACUCUGGGCCGAUACUGACGCUGAGGAGCGAAAGCGUGGGGAGCAAACAGG